RNAcentral lists this ribosomal RNA (246 nucleotides) under Candidatus Nitrosopumilus sp. Its description in RNAcentral is "Nitrosopumilus sp. partial 23S ribosomal RNA". It matches the Rfam family "Archaeal large subunit ribosomal RNA", at positions 2749 to 2987 of the family's 2987-position model. The record is from RNAcentral. Lineage: Archaea; Thermoproteati; Nitrososphaerota; Nitrososphaeria; Nitrosopumilales; Nitrosopumilaceae.
GAGUACGAGAGGAACAGAGCAGCGUGGCCACUGGUUUACCGGUUGUCUGAUAAGGCAGGCCGGGCAGCUAAGCCGUUUAGGCUAAGUGCUGAAAGCAUCUAAGCACGAAUCCUAUCCCGAGACAAGAUAUUCUUUCGCAAGAUGAAGGUCGGCAGCAGAAGACUGCGUUGAUAGGAAGGUGGUGUAGAUCACAAGCUUCGGCGAGUGAUGAGCCAGCCUUUACUAAUAGACCAACACACCGGUUCA